Molecule: ribosomal RNA, 320 nt
Filed under: uncultured eukaryote
Lineage: Eukaryota
Description: partial 18S ribosomal RNA
Rfam family: Eukaryotic small subunit ribosomal RNA
Source: RNAcentral
CCCUUAGAUGUUCUGGGCUGCACGCGCGCUACACUGACACACCCAGCGAGUCUCCUGCCCUGACAGGGUUGGGUAAUCAUUGGAGUGUGUGUCGUGAUGGGGAUAGAGUAUUGCAAUUAUUGCUCUCGAACGAGGAAUUCCUAGUAAGCACAAGUCAGCAGCUUGUGCUGAUUACGUCCCUGCCCUUUGUACACACCGCCCGUCGCUCCUACCGAGGGGGUGAUCCGGUGAAUGAUUCGGACUUUGGCGUUUCUAGCUGCUAGCAGCGCUGAAGAAAGUUUUGUGAACCUUAUCGCUUGGAGGAAGGAGAAGUCGUAACA